Mandrillus leucophaeus (drill) is the source of this 1710-nucleotide RNA transcript. It is a transcript of the gene named guanine nucleotide-binding protein-like 3-like protein pseudogene, with no coding region annotated. The transcript has a single exon. Lineage: Eukaryota; Metazoa; Chordata; Mammalia; Primates; Cercopithecidae. The record is from RefSeq and is a predicted model, not a curated record.
UGUCUUCUCAGAUCCCCGCCGGAAGUGUAGGAAGAGAGCAAGCAGAUUUGAGCCUAUCUGCUUUCAAGCUGGUGAUCGUGAUGAAACUUAGAAACAAAAAUGAAAAGCCAGGUAAAGGUUCCAAGGGCUGUAAGAAGCCUGCAAAACGAAAUGGGAAGAAAGCAACCUCCAAAGUGCCCUCUGCUCCUCAGUUUGUUCAUUCCAAUGAUCAUGCCAAUCAAGAGGCUGAAUUAAAGAAGAGAGUUGAGGAGAUGAGGGAGAAGCAAGCUGCCUAGGAGCAAGAAAGACAAAAACGCAGGUCUAUCAAGAGCUACUGUGAGGAUAUCCUAACACGCCAGGAGGAGUUUGAGUGUAAGGAGGAAGUUGUGCAGGAAUUAAAUAUGUUUCCUCAGCUGGAUGACGAGGCCACGAGGAAGGCUUAUUACAAGGAGUUCCAUAAGGUGGUAGAAUACUCUGAUGUGAUUCUGGAAGUCCUGGAUGCCAGAGACCCAUUAGGCUGCUGCUGCUUACAAAUGGAGGAGGCUGUUCUAUGGGCAGAAGGCAACAAGAAGCUGGUCCUGGUCUUGAACAAGAUUGACCUGGACCCCAAGGAGGUUGUGAAGUGGCUGGAUUACCUUCGGAAUGAGUUGCCAACUGUGGCUUUCAAGGCCAGGACCCAGCAUGUCAGCUUUGGAGCUGAAAACCUCAUGAGGGUUCUGGGGAACUAUUGCCACCUUGGUGAAGUGUGCACCCACAUCAAUAUGGGUGUUGUGGGCCUUCCCAAUGUUGGGAAGAGCAGCCUGAUUAAUAGCCUGAAGCACAGCCAUGCAUGCCGCGUGGGAGCCGUUCCUGGGGUCACGAAAUUCAUGCAGGAGGUCUACCUGGACAAGUUCAUCUGGCUGCUGGAUGCUCUAGCCAUUGUCCCAGGGCCCAGCUCCGAGGUGGGCACCAUUCUGCAUAGUUGCAUCCACGUGCAGAGACUGGCAGACCCGGUAACCCCAGUGGAGACCAUCUUGCAGAGCUGCAACCUGGAGAUUUCCAACUAUUACCUCCUCUCUGGGUACCAGACUACUGAGCACUUUCUGAUGGCAGUGGCCCACCAUUUGGGGAAGAGAGACUUAUGCAGUCAGGAGCAGGCAGCCAAAGCUGUCCUAGCUGACUGGGUGAGCGGGAAGAUCAGCUUCUAUAACCAUCACCACCCACUCACACUGCCUGCCUAUCUCAGCACUGAGAUCAUUAAGGAAAUGACCAAGGUCUUUCACAUCGGGAAUACCGAGCAGGUCAAUGAAGACACCAUGGAAUGCUUGGCCACUGGAGAAUGUGAUGAGGUGUUGGGUGACUUGGACCCACUCAAAAUGGAGAUCAAGUUGCUCCAUUAUCCGAUGAUGAAAAUAGCAGAUGCCAUUGAAAAUAAAGCCACCAUGUAUAAGAUCGGAGAUCUCACUGGGUAUUGCACCAAUCCGAAUCGUCAUCAGAAGGGGUGGGGCUAAACUCAAUGUGGAUCACCACCCUAAAAACAACAGUAAAGUGGAUGUGUGCCCAGUGGACUGCUGCCCAGUACUGCGGAGGAUCAUGGGGAUGGACUCCCUAUAACAGGGCCAGGCUCUGGCAUCCUCCCUAAAGAAUAAGAAUACGCAGAAAUGUGCAGAUAAAAUCGCCAGGGAGCUGUCUGAUUCCAUGAUGUCUGCCGUCAACCUCUCUGGCAAUGUUGAUGGCGGUGUUGAUGACUAA